UAGCCGACAACACCGUCGCUACCGAAUAAAGUAACAGUAACCGAUAAUAAAAAAUUAACCUAUAUGUUUUCAAUUCGAUGCUCCAUGAAAUUGUUGGCCUUAGUCGCGCUCAUCUUUUUUCAGUCAUUACAAAAGACAUUUAUAUCAAGUAGAUUUUACAAAUGGUAUUAUGAUAUUUGUGUAUCAAUAUUUAUAUGAUUUUAACCUCAACAAUUCUGUCAAAGUUUUUAUUGUAUUUUGUAGAACUUUUAGAAUUCCAAUGCAAUUUACGGAGCCUGUGACUUCGUUUAAGUUAAGGCACUAAAUAUGUAAUUGCAAAAAGACCGAAAAGCGAAACUGUCACUCAAUUUAGCUGCUACUAGUGUCAUCACUAACUGUAAGUAGCAUCAUACGAGUAUCAUCAAUAGACUUGCCGAUCAAAACUGUUAUCACUCAUUAUACUGCGUAUAAAAAGCUGACGACUGUUUUGUAAGUAUGUACGAGUAUGCUGAAUGAAAUUUACUAUUACGCAGGCGCCAAUACUAAUAAGGCAAGUAGUAUAACGCAGUAUUUUAGUAUUUGGCUACAAAUAAAAUAUUUUCAUUUAUUAACCCUAGUAUUUAUUAUUUGUAUGUUAUAUAAUUAAUAAAUAUUUUCCAACGGUAUAUCGAUAGUACACGCGCCAAAGAAACCUUUGACGUAAUCGAUGAUUGCGAUUAAACAAAGCAUAGCUUACGUUUGCGAAGGAAAUGGCGUUACGAUGCGUAUUAAGCGCAGUAAAUAUUUCAUUGCAAAUUUGUCCCUUGAUACCGUAGUCGAUUUCCAGGAGGACCUCCGAAAAAAAAGGUAACUGGCGGUGAGGAGGACUAUUCUGCUAAGAAUUAUCUAAAAACCAAUAAAAAUGUAUUAUAACAAUAGAUGAAUAAAUUUUGAUUUUUGACAAAAUG
Bactrocera oleae (olive fruit fly) is the source of this 926-nucleotide non-coding RNA. Lineage: Eukaryota; Metazoa; Arthropoda; Insecta; Diptera; Tephritidae. The record is from RefSeq and is a predicted model, not a curated record.